CACCCAACAGCUAGCCCCUCCAACCAAAAGUAACAAACCACUAUUAAUAACCCCAAAU
RNAcentral lists this ribosomal RNA (58 nucleotides) under Percalates novemaculeata (Australian bass). RNAcentral describes it as "partial 16S ribosomal RNA". Lineage: Eukaryota; Metazoa; Chordata; Actinopteri; Centrarchiformes. The record is from RNAcentral.